This 383-nucleotide ribosomal RNA is filed under the name uncultured bacterium. RNAcentral describes it as "bacterial SSU rRNA". It matches the Rfam family "Bacterial small subunit ribosomal RNA", at positions 32 to 396 of the family's 1533-position model. The record is from RNAcentral.
AAUCAACGCUGGCGGCGUGCCUAACACAUGCAAGUCGAACGCGAAAGUCCCGCAAGGGAUUAGUAGAGUGGCAAACGGGUGAGUAACACGUGGGUGACCUGCCUUCGAGCGGGGGAUAACGUCCCGAAAGGGACGCUAAUACCGCAUAACAUCCUGCCUUUUAAGAGGUGGAGAUCAAAGCCGGGGAUUCGCAAGAACCUGGCACUUGAAGAGGGGCCCGCGCCUGAUUAGCUAGUUGGNGGGGUAAUGGCCUACCAAGGCAACGAUCAGUAUCCGGCCUGAGAGGGGCGGACGGACACACUGGGACUGAGACACGGCCCAGACUCCUACGGGAGCAGCAGUGGGGAAUUGUUCGCAAUGGGCGCAAGCCUGACGACGCAACG